This is an RNA transcript of Panicum virgatum (switchgrass), 1477 nucleotides long. RefSeq lists it as uncharacterized. The transcript is spliced from 3 exons. NCBI's taxonomy places the organism in Eukaryota, Viridiplantae, Streptophyta, Magnoliopsida, Poales, Poaceae. The record is from RefSeq and is a predicted model, not a curated record.
UAAGAUUUGACGAUACUGUGCAACAAUGCCUGUUGCACGGACGGCGGCGAAGGCAGAAGGCACAAGGCAGUGCCAAGACCAACCCAGAGGCUUCUUCACAGCAGCCACUGCGAAUGACCGAUUCCCCACAACUCGACCAGCCGCCGCCGCCGCCUCCUACCGACCAAAAAAGCGUCGCGCUAGCAGCAGCAAAUGCCUUGCCUAACCUGGUUCCGUUGAAGCCGAAGAUGAUCAUCAAGGGGGUUCUUGGGCGGUACGAGCGGUGGAACCCCGUCCACCCGACGGCCGGCGCGUUCUGGGGCAUGGGGCUCGGCCUCGGUUGCGGAGUCGGCUGGGGCCCCGGGUUCGGCCCCGAGGUGAUUGGGUACGUCGGCGCCGGCUGCGGCGUGGGGUUCAGCGUCGGUGUCACGCUCGCCGGCGUAGGCAUCGGCCUGCCGCAGCACGUCCUCGUUAGGAGCAACGACCAAAGCGGGGGUGAGUGCUGCUCUGUUCUCAUGCCCUCAACUCUUCUUGCUGUAACGCUUUGGGUGAAUUCUUCCAUUGGUGGGAGCUUGGGCUUGUGUUUGUAUAGUGUUAACAUCAUCAUGAAAAAUGAAAUGUCAAGUUGCUAAUAUUAAUUCAUGUAAAAAGAAGCUAGUUGAUAGGAUCAGAUAAAACCUACUCCUUUGAGUAACAUGACAUGACCAGUGAUACCUAAUUAGCUACUACUUGAUACUAUUGUGCCUGCAAAUGUGACAUGCUUGAUUUUUGUCACAUAUAAAAAAUGAAAAGCACAGUGGCAUAGGGAAAGCACAUUGACAUUUCCAAAUGGCCAUGCUGCUGGUAUUGCAGCGAACAUAUAGCAAAGGCAUGCAUCUGAUUCAGCCUUUGAUGCCAACAGUUAUGUAACAUGGGUUUUCCGAGCAAUAUGACCCUUGAAUCGGCAAGGUAUUACACGAUGACUAUCGUCAGAGGUUUGGUCAGGGAUGUCAUUGGUUAUGCAAGCCAGAUUUCUGGAGGUGGUGUUGUGCCCAAGUUGGGGAAAGGUGUGUCAAGUAGCAUCCAGUCAAACAGGAGGAGUUGAUGUACCAAGUUGGGGAAAGGCGUGUCAAGUAGCAUGCAGUCCCGAGUGUGGAGUUGUGUAUCAGGGCCUUCAAAAAUCAGCAUUGGCCUCCAUCCAUAAAAAGACACUUCAAGGUUUAAAGCUGGUUGUUACUUUUAUAGAGUACCCAAGGUAAACUUCAGAAAAUGUGAUAUACUACUACUCUGUAUUCUUUUUGUUACGAGAAUAUAUUUUCUUGACUUAUCAAGGUGAAGUUGUUCCUGCUUGACAAAAUGGUUGCCUGCCACUAGGUAGCCAUUUAUGUAAAUGGGCAUGUAAAUACAACAAUGGUCUAUUGUUGCUCUAUAUCAAAUUACUUUGCUCCAGUAAUCUUCUGUGGAACACUUGUCUAUUCUGCAGAACCGUCGCCUGCACUUGUAAUAGUGUAUUAUGGAA